GAUGAACGCUGGCGGCGUGCUUAACACAUGCAAGUCGAACGGUGAAGGCCGAGCUUGCUCUGCUGGAUCAGUGGCGAACGGGUGAGUAACACGUGAGCAAUCUGCCCCUGACUCUGGGAUAACCGCUGGAAACGGCGGCUAAUACUGGAUACGAGCUGCGACUGCAUCUUCAGCAGCUGAAAGGAACGUCGGUCAGGGAUGAGCUCGCGGCCUAUCAGCUUGUUGGUGGGGUAGUGGCUUACCAAGGCGUUGACGGGUAGCCGGCCUGAGAGGGUGACCGGCCACAUUGGGACUGAGAUACGGCCCAGACUCCUACGGGAGGCAGCAGUGGGGAAUAUUGCACAAUGGGCGAAAGCCUGAUGCAGCAACGCCGCGUGCGGGACGACGGCCUUCGGGUUGUAAACCGCUUUCAGCAGUGACGAAGCGAGAGUGACGGUACUGGCUGAAGAAGCGCCGGCUAACUACGUG
RNAcentral lists this ribosomal RNA (468 nucleotides) under uncultured bacterium. RNAcentral's name for it is "partial 16S ribosomal RNA". It matches the Rfam family "Bacterial small subunit ribosomal RNA", at positions 28 to 507 of the family's 1533-position model. The record is from RNAcentral.